Molecule: non-coding RNA, 4000 nt
Organism: Phalacrocorax carbo (great cormorant)
Lineage: Eukaryota; Metazoa; Chordata; Aves; Suliformes; Phalacrocoracidae
Source: RefSeq, a predicted model, not a curated record
CCCUCUGGAGCCAGGAGGCACCGCCGCUCGCCGCCGGCCCCGCCGCCCCCCGCCUCUCCUCGGCGGGGCAGGCGCUACCGCCGCGUUCCGGGAUGCUGCUCUCCGAAAAAGAAAGAGUCUUCAGUUCAAGAUAACAACUUUACAUCAUCUGUGAAAAUGAAACCAUACACUUUUUGGAGUACAGGAGCUUCUUAUAUUGGCUACAUUCUUCAUUAAAGUUCUUCUCGCCUAACACUAGCGCAGUUCAAUCGCCUUCUCUCCCCAGCCCAUGACCUGAUUAGAUUGAAGUUCCUAGGCUGUACAACAGGUCACUACUGCUGUAGGCUGUGAGGAAGACUGUCAUUAACGUUUCUGAAUUACUGCAGCAGCAGCAUGACGAGCCACCAGGGCAGCACCCGUGCAAUGUGCAGUUAGUAUCUAAAAAGUCACAGCUGUGGAGAACUUCUACUAAAUAAAAGGCUAGAGAGUCAAAAAUCAGGAAGGAAAAAAAUCCUAAGGCUGAAUAAAGUCACAAAUGGACAAGUUAAGAAACUGGCCAUGGAAGGUAUGUUUCAAGGCAUCUCUGUUCCAAAGCUGCUCUGAUUCCAGUUGUUGCUCAUGCCUUUGUAAUUAUUCUGGUAGAACUGACCACCCAACCCAGACGUGUGUCUGGGGUGACAGUUUGCUUGUUCCAAUGCUUUUUGCUGUUUCCUGGAGAAAAAGUGCACAGGAGAUCUGACCAACAGGAAUCAUUCAGAUACGAGCAGGCAUUUUCUGUGCAUGAGCCAGACAGCAACCAUUUGAAAAACUGGUGAGUAUGUUGACAGAGCACUGAGGCAGUAAUUUAACCACCUUUUGGUGACGCUGUCUGUUUCUCUACAUAACAUCCUUUUUGCUUCUAAAAAGAGCAAAGGAAAUAAGGGCUUUUAUUGGUUCCCCACUCUGGGAAUAUCCAGUUUUGUGCUAACCCUCCAAGAGUACAUACUGCAAAUGAUUCAUUCCUCACGCAAAAGGGCAAAAGUGCUCCCAAAUCUUAUUAACUUGAUGUUUCUUAAACCCUUUUUUAAUCCUGUUUUAUAGAAAGAAAAUAUUACAGCUAUGUUUGUAUUUAGCCCUACAUGUGCGAAAUAUCUUUCAGAUUAAACAUAGAUAACUUCUACAAUUUUAAUUUCCCAUGGGAUUUGAGUUUCCUUUCCAAUUUCUGAUUAACAGAUUGGUCACAGAGGUCCCAACUAAAAGACUGUGAGAGUAAGCUAUAUUUAGGUUCCCUGCCCUAAAUCCAUCAAUUAUAAUACAAACUAUUUUUUUUGUAGUCAAGAUAUUUUCGCCAACGACAAAAGUUUUCUUUCAAAAUAAUUGCUUAAAGAAAUCAAGAAAUGAGAAAAGGAUGACUAGAGAGCACCACAAGGUAAACACAAGACCCUUCUACCCCUGAAACACAGGGUGAAAAUUUUGAGAUAAGCUCAUACACACUUCAGGAGGUCUGAAAUGGGUCUGGAAAUUCCAGGAAAACGGGAUCUCUUAUGAAUUUUUCAAGUUCCCCCAAAGUCUGGCCAUGCAAAUAACACAGUUAUUCACACUUCUCUCAUGAGAGUUAAUGUUUUUGUCUGGACCCAAGAAUUUCAAAGGAUCAAGAAAAUUAAUAGGAGCCAGUGGGAAACAAUUAUUAAACUAAUAGUUAACAGAGCUCUUUGUUUAAAGUUUGAGUUGUGUGUUGAGUUACAGGUUGGGUUAAUUUGUUUUUAGUGGAAAUGUGAUUCCAAUCAGAAGUCAAAUUAAUCUUGUACCACAAAGAUUGACAAUUCCUGUUCCAAAGAAAUCCAUAACUGAGAUACUGGAAGUGCUGCAGCAGCAGCAGCAGCAAGGCAAGGGUGCUCAGGCUAACAUAUUGGAAAACUUUCAAAUGACAACUGAGAGGGCCAGUUUGGAGGCUCCCUCCUGUCAGCUGUGGAAUCCAUGGUAGUGGAGACAACAGAAGAGACAGAUACCUUUCCUUCCAGAGAAAACCUACACUGGGAGAAGUUCUACGAAGAGCUGGCUGUUUACUCAGCUCUCCUAACCUUACCAUACAAAACAUACAAUCUAACUCACCCUCUGCUUCCUCAGCAGGGUGUUUCACUGUACCUGUCCCUGGCUGGGCACCACCUUCCUGUCUGGUGGUGCCCAGUUCUCUAGACUGACUACAGAGCAAAUCUAAACUAUUCACACAGACAAGACUCCUAACUUCUCUAUAGUAAAAUUCACCAGACAGAAUGCCACCCUCAGAAGCAUCUUCUCCAUCCUCAUCCUAUUUAACUGCCCUAAAAUACUGUAAAAAGACUGUUAGGCAAUUUCAUACUGAUAGCUUUCCAUGCAAGUGAUUAUCAUAGUGGGGUGCUGAAAAACAGGAGAAAUAGCUGCACGAGCACGUGGAAAGGCGAAUGUCCAAAUGGCAUUCCUUCUAUUAUGAUGUAAUGAACCUUGAGAAAUUGGGAAUAUAAUGCCUAGCCGGAGGUGUACCAAAGGAUGUUUUAAAUUAGAGUAAUUAACUGGCAGAAAAGCUCAUACAUUCAGCUGGUCCAAAGCGGUGAGGCUUUGUUCACUUCAGUGCCAGCUGGGUAUGCACAAGGAAAUUUUUACUGAAGUCAAGGCAGUGUAAUUUCCAGGCCACAAGAAUGCUUUACAAACCUAUCUCUCAUAUCUGUGGGUUUGAUGAUUCAGUGCUUCCAGCAACAUUAGGAAGAAAGACUUAAGCUCUCUCUGGUCCACUUCUGAGGCAUUCCUGCGAACUCUAUCUAGAUUAAGUGAAAAAGCUUUGAGAGCAAUCGGUGCCCAGUGACACAAACUGCAAACUUCCAAGCAGAAGUCGUAGAUCGAUGUGACCCUUCCUGUAACAUCCCCUUUUCUAAAGCAGGAUGUAAGAAAGCUCUUUGUUCCUUAUAUAUCAUCUGUCUUUGAAACACACUAUCUAGUAACAGUGACUCUUUAGGACAUAGCACACAGUGAGAAUAAUACAACUAGAAAAGCCUGUAAUAGUUACAAAUAACAUCCACGGUUUAAAAAGUAUUGAACAUGAGAUUAGGGUUAAUCUCUGCAGGACACACAUAAAUGGAUCUGAUUUUAAAACUGUUUCUUCCCAAGGCAGGAAAAAGGAGUUCUAACCAAUGAAGUACAUGUGGGAAAACAAAGGAGAGUUUAAAUAUUUAUGAAAAUCAUGUAUCAUACAUGUACACUACAAGAUAGGUAAGACAUUACAGUUUGAAGAAAAUGUUCAUGUUAAGUAAGCUUGCUACUUUCAGUAAGGCCUAAGGAAGCACAUCCCAUAACAAAAGGCUUCUUGAAAGCUUCUGUCUCCUUCAGAUAGCACUUGUCAGUGCAGCUUCCAAUUAUGUUCAAUAUUUCUCAUUAGAACUCCUCUUACCCUGGCUGAGUAAUUGCUUUUUGAUUAUUGAUUAUUUCUUAUGGUGUUUCUGGCAUUAAUUUAGAGGGGAUGUAAAAUUUCAACAUAUCAAAGACAAUUAGAUAUUCCUAUGAAAAAUAGGGAAUUGAUACAUUUUAAUUAUGCCCUGUAGCUCUGAAUAUGGGCUGAAAAUUGGAGAUAGGGCUAUUCAGUGAAGGGCAGGAAACACUACAUAGUUACCUUAUAACCUCAUACCUGUUUUUUGAAACAAAAUCAGUUUUGUUGCUGAAUUUUAUUGAAACAGUGCUAAAAUAAGUUGUCUUGUAAUGAUUUGCGCUCCAGAGGUGGGCUUCUUGCCCGCAGUACUGUUAAAAACCCUCUACAAAUGUUAAGCCUGGCAUUUACUGAAGUGUGUUAUUCUACUGAUUUUAAUGGACUUAAAACUACCCAGCUAGAAGUGGAAGGAGAAAGGUGAACAUCCUUGGUUUUUCACUGUGGCAUCCAGUUUCUGCCAAGCUAAUAACAUGCCUUUGUACAAUCUAAAUGUCUUGGGCUUUUUUUGUUUGUCGGUAUGUUUGUUGUAAGAUGCAGAAGAACAGGAGUGCGCCAGAAAAGGCAACAAAUAAUAAAACCAAAAAUCUG